AAAAUACGACUGUCGGCAACGGAUAUCUCGGCUCUCGCAUCGAUGAAGAACGUAGCGAAAUGCGAUACUUGGUGUGAAUUGCAGAAUCCCGUGAACCAUCGAGUCUUUGAACGCAAGUUGCGCCCGAAGCCGUCAGGCCGAGGGCACGUCUGCCUGGGCGUCACG
Molecule: ribosomal RNA, 165 nt
Filed under: Ipomoea argillicola
Lineage: Eukaryota; Viridiplantae; Streptophyta; Magnoliopsida; Solanales; Convolvulaceae
Description: 5.8S ribosomal RNA
Rfam family: 5.8S ribosomal RNA
About the family: 5.8S ribosomal RNA (5.8S rRNA) is a component of the large subunit of the eukaryotic ribosome. It is transcribed by RNA polymerase I as part of the 45S precursor that also contains 18S and 28S rRNA.
Source: RNAcentral